GAACGAGCUACUCUGGGGCAUUAGUUCCGUGAGAGAGUAGGAAGCGGAUGUUGGCUGGUCUCUAGUAGUGGAGAAAUGAGACGGUACUGGGAGCUAAGAAGUUGGAUCACAGGAAGACUGAACAAGAGCCGAGUCGGUGGUAAAGACGCUUCCUCAAAUGACCAUGGGAAUGUCUCUCUUGACAUAAAACUGAAGUCCAUGUGUCUUUGGGACACAAUGACAGACGGCAUCGUGACCUAAACAGAUAAAGACCCACCAGAACGAGUCUGUGAAGGACGUCCUUGUUCUCACAGCAGAGCGUGGGGUCUGGGAGUGCACGGAAGGGGCGAGACUCGCAGGAGAGGAGCACGGGGCACUGAACCUGCUCAUGGGCCGGAAAGACCACUGGUGCUUUGAAGAAGAAUUCGAAGAUCUCUGUCCGAUUCAGCCUAAACCGCAUGUGAUGACAUGGGCAGCCUUCAGUGACAGGUUGCCUUAGUUUCGACCUCAGUUCGGGCUCCACAGUGAUAAAGUCAAGACAAAAAAAUCCAUAUCCAGCUCUGGUCAGUGUCACAUAAGUGACAGCUUUGAUUCUAGGGAUAGAACAACACGUGAGAAAAAUAUGCUGCCUGCCCUAUUAAAAGUGUGUGUGUGUGUGUGUGUGUGUGUGUAAUAUACAUACACAUAUACAUAUCUAUAAAUUUUGAGAUAUGAUUUCUUGAGCUGGAU
Molecule: long non-coding RNA, 708 nt
Organism: Mustela erminea (ermine)
Lineage: Eukaryota; Metazoa; Chordata; Mammalia; Carnivora; Mustelidae
Exons: 2
Source: RefSeq, a predicted model, not a curated record